CGCGAAUGAAUAUAUGGCCACGCACGUGAUCAAGUUCACCAAUGAAAUUGCUCAUAAAUAUGGACAGCCAAUCAGAUUUGGUAAGACAGUCACAACUAUCGCAUUUUGACGUUUCGGCGGGAGUAUACCAUGGUGAGAAUAUUAACCGACAGGGCUGGACGUGAUACCAAAAAUACAAUACCUCGAUGGCAGUACUGGAGCUGUGGGUAGCAGAUUCCUUGUAGGCUGAACUAGAGCAGGGAUGGAGCAGAGAUACCUCGAUAGGCUGUACUGGAUGCGGAGGAGUUGCUGCCGACAUACCACAAAGACUGUACUGGAUGCGGAGGAGUUGCUGCCGACAUACCACAAAGACUGUACUGGAUGUGGAGCACUUGACCGGGCAUCGGUCAGGUAUUUCCUUCGGGACUACGAUCCUGGGGAAUGGCGGACGUUGACGACAGCCCGGGACAUGGAGCAGGGAUGGAGCAGAGAUGCCUCGAUAAGCUGUACCGGAUACAGAGGGGUUACUGCCGACAUACCUCAAUGGCUGUACUGGAUGCAGAAAACUUGACCGGGCAUAGGUCAAGUAUUUCCUUCGGGACUACGGUAAUAUUCUUUCUUUUUCUCAUUCUGUUGUAAGAAUGAAGGAAAGAUAAUACGUCAGAUCUAAAUUCCAAUAAGGCUACUUGCAAACCUUACUGGGCACUCUUGCAAUCGAACUAAUGGACAAUGCUGGUCUUUUGAUCGGGUCUUACAAACUGUGUUCUUCUCUGCUAUUACAAAUACCUUUAUGAGGAAAAUGUCUGCUAUUCUUUACAACUAUUCCUUCUCUAAACAUGUGGGCAUGUCAAGUCCGCCAAAUGUGGAUUUGAUCAUGCCAUACACCCGCAUGUGGCAAGAAUGAUAUUGUAUUUGAUGAUUUGUGAAACUUGAGUUGAAUGUGGGGCGAAUGGACUUGAUAGAUCAACAGCGCUUAUAAUUUGAUUGACAGGAGAGGUAUAGUGUUUGGAUAGGCCGACUUUGAUUCUUUUUUCUGACCAUUGCCUGUCCUUCAGCUACAACAGAUGUACUGUUAUUACAAGCAAUAGUGCUUUGUAUUGAACAGUACGCGGCCUGAUGACGAAUGUCAGAAGGUAUCGUUUUUAUAUGUGGCGGCGGUAAUGUAUCGCCGAUUUUACCAAAUAUUUGGUUUGGUAAAACGAUACUAUUGCAAAUCUUUCAAAAUGAUGACACUCUGUCAGAAUAAUGUAUUGCAGAUCCUGGGGAAUGGCGGACGUUGACGACAGCCCGGGACCUGGAUCAGGGAUGGAGCAGAGAUACCUCGAUAGGCUGUACCGGAUGCAGAGGGGUUACUGCCGACAUACCUCAAUGGCUGUACUGGAUGCAGAAAACUUGACCGGGCAUAGGUCAGGUAUUUCCUUCGGGACUUUGGUAAUAUUCUUUCUUUUCCUCAUUCUGUUGUAAGAAUGAAGGAAAGAUAAUACGUCAGAUCUAAAUUCCAGCAAGGCUACUUGCAAACCUUACUGGGCACUCUUGCAAUCGAACUAAUGGACAAUGCUGGUCUUUUGAUCGGGUCUUACAAACUGUGUUCUUCUCUGCUAUUACAAAUACCUUUAUGAGGAAAAUGUCUGCUAUUCUUUUACAACCAUUCCUUCUCUAAACAUGUGGGCAUGUCAAGUCCGCCAAAUGUGGAUUUGAUCAUGCCAUACACCCGCAUGUGGCAAGAAUGAUAUUGUAUUUGAUGAUGCAGGAUUUUCCUUCUCUGAAGAUUUGUGAAACUUGAGGUGAAUGUGGGGCGAAUGGACUUGAUAGAUCAACAGCGCUUAUAAUUUGAUUGACAUGAGAGGUAUAGUGUUUGGAUAAGCCGACUUUGAUUCUUUUUUCUGACCAUCGCCUGUCCUUCAUUCAGCUACAACAGAUGUACUGUUAUUACAAGCAAAAGUGCUUUGUAUUGAACAGUACGCGGCCUGAUGACGAAUGUCAGACAUACAACAGACUAAACCACAGGACCACUUAUGACAAACAAAGUGUAUGGAACAACAACCACUGACAGACUAGAGCAUGGGAACAACCAAACUCGACAACCUACAGCAAUCAACAUAAUUCUAGUAACAGACCAGAGGAGGGGGACAACAAAAGAUGGAAACACGACAGACAACAUGGAAAGCACAGGAACUACCAAUGACAGAACAGAAAGUAUGGUACAACCACCAGCAGCAACAGAAAAAGGAUAUGAAUCCAUGACAGACCAUAAAAUGUAGAAGAGAACGGGACCACUACAUAUUACACAAGAUAAGGGGUAGAAGACCUUGGAAUAUGAAAUCAAAACUGACCAGAGCACAGGACUACAAAUUACAGAACAGAGUAUGGUACAACCACCAGCAACAGAGUAAACUGAGGAUGGAUCAACAACCUGCAGCUGAUUGAACAAAAAACCUUCUAAAAUGACUAGAAUUAAAUGAUUGAACAGUAACAGACCAGACUAAAAUGGAUGGAUCUACCAACCUUAACCAAUGAAGAACUAGAACAACCAGUGACUACAGAAAGAAUCUCGUACCAGUCCAGUUCCAGUGUUGAUGGCACCGAUUCCUUACCAGUCGGGAGCUAAAAGGAUGCAGUAAUGAUGUACAACAGACUAUAGCACAUGACACAUAUAGGACAGACCAAAGCGUAUUGAACAACCACCAAUGACAGAUCAAAGAGUAUGGAACAACCUACAAUGACAGACCAACGAGUAUGGAACAACCACCAAUGACAGAUCAAAGAGUAUGGAACAACCACCAAUGACCGACCAAAGAGUAUGGAAC
Molecule: long non-coding RNA, 2786 nt
Filed under: Mizuhopecten yessoensis (Yesso scallop)
Lineage: Eukaryota; Metazoa; Mollusca; Bivalvia; Pectinida; Pectinidae
Description: uncharacterized LOC110446980, transcript variant X2
Source: RNAcentral